AAGAAGAAAGGCUAGCGAAAGUUCUGCUUGCUUCCGUCUUUAGGAUGGGAUGGUUUUCAUCUCAAGCCUGAUUAAGUGAAAACAGAGACCCACAACCUGAAACCUCCCUUCCUGUGCUUCGGGUCCCAAGAAGCUCAGUGGAGGGCAGGUGCAUUGCUGAGAAUAAUGAAGAUGGAGAGAAGAGAACAUGCUUAUUAAGCACAUAUUAUGUGCCAAGCAUCAUAUUAGGUUUUGUGUAUAUAAUAUAUAUAUAAUAUAACAUAUAAAUAUGUAAUAUAUAAUAUAAAUAUAAUAUUUAUAUUAUAUAUUAUUGGUACUAUAUAUUUAAUUUAUAAUUUAUAUAUGUGUGUGUGUGUGUGUGUGUAUUAGCGCUUUCUUUUCUUCUGGCCACCCCACAGCAUCUGGAGGAUAUGGAAUUCCCAGGCCAGGGAUCAGAUCUGAGCUGCAGUUAUGACCUAUGUCGCAGCUGUGGCAAUACAGGCUCCUUAACCCGUGGUGCCGGGCCAGGGAUGGAACCUGCACCCCAGCAUUGCAGAGACACAGCCGAUCCUGUCGCUCCAUGGCGGGAACUCCUACGUUAGCGCUUGAAUCUUACUACCAACACCCUGACUCCCAGGAAAAUGAGACUCAACUCAGUUGAACCCUCGUUAAAGGUUUGAUCCAGGGCAUAUGGAGCAGGAUUUAAACUCAAGUCUGUGCGACUCUAAUUCCUGAGAUUUCUCACGAUCCCAAUUCUGCUUCCCACACGAGUUGUCUGGUUGGGUCUAAAAAUUGAGACUGAAGUAGAAAUUUAGAUCUUAGAGAAGCCCAGAGAAAUGGAUUCCUUCAAGUUUGCAUAAUGAAUAUACCACUUUCCAGGGCAUCGUUCUGCUGCUACACCUUGCCUCCCUGGAGCUGAAAAUUGAAUCUGUUUGUCAGCAUUGGAACCAACCUUCAGAUGGUGUAGAGAAAGUACCAGCAAACUGAAGUGCCAUUGUGAGGUUGACAUAUAUGGACCUGGGACCUGACAGUGGCUUUGCUGCAAGGUGUACAGUUUGCUCCUGUGACCUCUCUGGACUGCGAUGGUUGGUGAACACGCAACCAAAGCAACAACACAGGCGCAGUAACUCCUUCGUGGAGACUGCUUCCAUUUUCACAAUGUCCAGCUCCACGCUAGAGCUUCGGGGAAAGGGACCGAGGAAGUGACUGGUUCGCCAACUGAAACUGUAAGUAGAUCCUGACCAAACGCUUCCUUUUCCUGGAGGACAG
This 1248-nucleotide long non-coding RNA is filed under the name Sus scrofa (pig). RNAcentral describes it as "lncRNA (ENSSSCG00070002560.1)". The record is from RNAcentral. Lineage: Eukaryota; Metazoa; Chordata; Mammalia; Artiodactyla; Suidae.